This 448-nucleotide ribosomal RNA is filed under the name uncultured bacterium. RNAcentral describes it as "bacterial SSU rRNA". It matches the Rfam family "Bacterial small subunit ribosomal RNA", at positions 29 to 524 of the family's 1533-position model. The record is from RNAcentral.
AACGAACGCUGGCGGCAGGCCUAACACAUGCAAGUCGAGCGCCCAGCAAUGGGAGCGGCAGACGGGUGAGUAACGCGUGGGAACCUUCCCAAUGGUACGGAAUAGCUCAGGGAAACUUGAGGUAAUACCGAAUAAGCCCGAAAGGGGAAAGAUUUAUCGCCAUUGGAUGGGCCCGCGUAGGAUUAGCUAGUUGGUGAGGUAAUGGCUCACCAAGGCGACGAUCCUUAGCUGGUUUGAGAGAAUGACCAGCCACACUGGGACUGAGACACGGCCCAGACUCCUACGGGAGGCAGCAGUGGGGAAUCUUGGACAAUGGGCGCAAGCCUGAUCCAGCCAUGCCGCGUGAGUGACGAAGGUCUUCGGAUUGUAAAGCUCUUUUGCCAGGGACGAUAAUGACGGUACCUGGAGAAUAAGCCCCGGCUAACUUCGUGCCAGCAGCCGCCGUAAC